CAUGCAAGUCGAACGGUAACAGGUCUUCGGAUGCUGACGAGUGGCGAACGGGUGAGUAAUACAUCGGAACGUGCCCAGUAAUGGGGGAUAGCUCGGCGAAAGCCGGAUUAAUACCGCAUACGCCCUGAGGGGGAAAGUGGGGGAUCGCAAGACCUCACGUUAUUGGAGCGGCCGAUGGCUGAUUAGCUAGUUGGUAGGGUAAAGGCCUACCAAGGCGACGAUCAGUAGCUGGUCUGAGAGGACGAUCAGCCACACUGGGACUGAGACACGGCCCAGACUCCUACGGGAGGCAGCAGUGGGGAAUUUUGGACAAUGGGGGAAACCCUGAUCCAGCAAUGCCGCGUGUGCGAAGAAGGCCUUCGGGUUGUAAAGCACUUUUGUCAGGGAAGAAAUCCUUUGGGCUAAUACCCUAGGGGGAUGACGGUACCUGAAGAAUAAGCACCGGCUAACUACGUGCCAGCAGCCGCGGUAAUACGUAGGGUGCAAGCGUUAAUCGGAAUUACUGGGCGUAAAGCGUGCGCAGGCGGUUGUGUAAGACAGGUGUGAAAUCCCCGGGCUUAACCUGGGAAUUGCAUUUGUGACUGCACGACUAGAGUGUGUCAGAGGGGGGUGGAAUUCCACGUGUAGCAGUGAAAUGCGUAGAUAUGCGGAGGAACACCAAUGGCGAAGGCAAUCCCCUGGGCCUGUACUGACGCUCAUGCACGAAAGCGUGGGGAGCAAACAGGAUUAGAUACCCUGGUAGUCCACGCCCUAAACGAUGUCAACUGGUUGUUGGACGGCUUGCUGUUCAGUAACGAAGCUAACGCGUGAAGU
This 813-nucleotide ribosomal RNA is filed under the name uncultured bacterium. RNAcentral describes it as "bacterial SSU rRNA". It matches the Rfam family "Bacterial small subunit ribosomal RNA", at positions 54 to 865 of the family's 1533-position model. The record is from RNAcentral.